This 519-nucleotide ribosomal RNA is filed under the name Triticum aestivum (bread wheat). RNAcentral's name for it is "partial small subunit ribosomal RNA". Lineage: Eukaryota; Viridiplantae; Streptophyta; Magnoliopsida; Poales; Poaceae. The record is from RNAcentral.
AUGUACUCUUGCCCAGCCUACGGCUAUGGGUCGAGGCUCCCGUCCCCGACGCCAUCCGACGAGGACCCAGAGCACUUCAACCCGCCGGGCUACGAUCCACUGCCGGAGUUCUCCUCCCCGCCGGCUGCAGCCCCUCUGGACGCGCUCAAGCCCCGGCUCGUCAUCAACCUCGUGCCGAAGGUGAAGACGGAGGAGAUGGAGGCUGCUGUGCCGACGGUCGCUCUCCCAGCGUUCCCAGACCUCAACCUCCCAACGCGAGAUGUGGAGGAGGAAGAACACCAGGAAGCACCGCCGCCGUCAGCACUCCCGACACCCUCGCCGGAAGCCCGUGUGCUACUCCGCCGCCUUGCGUCCGCCAUGGCUGCUUGCCCCACUGGAAUCCGUGGCGUCGCGGAUCCCCGCCCCCACGAGCCACGAGGCCGCCCCUCAACUCCCCUCCUCCUAUGCGGAAGGGCCGCUCCGCCACUGAUGGAGCCGGCCGUGGGCACCGGCGAGGAGCAGGGCCAAGCACACUGGUGA